ACCUACGGGGCGCAGCAGUGAGGAAUAUUGGUCAAUGGCCGGAAGGCUGAACCAGCCAAGCCGCGUGAAGGACGAAGGUGCCAAGCAUUGUAAACCUCUUUUGUCAGGGAGCAAAGGGCGCCACGUGUGGCGUUUUGCGAGUACCUGAAGAAAAAGCAUCGGCUAACUCCGUGCCAGCAGCCGCGGUAAUACGGAGGAUGCGAGCGUUAUCCGGAUUUAUUGGGUUUAAAGGGUGCGUAGGCGGACUGUUAAGUCAGCGGUAAAAGCCCGGGGCUCAACCCCGGCGAGCCGUUGAAACUGGCUGU
This 305-nucleotide ribosomal RNA is filed under the name uncultured bacterium. RNAcentral describes it as "bacterial SSU rRNA". It matches the Rfam family "Bacterial small subunit ribosomal RNA", at positions 337 to 640 of the family's 1533-position model. The record is from RNAcentral.